RNAcentral lists this ribosomal RNA (914 nucleotides) under uncultured bacterium. RNAcentral describes it as "bacterial SSU rRNA". It matches the Rfam family "Bacterial small subunit ribosomal RNA", at positions 456 to 1377 of the family's 1533-position model. The record is from RNAcentral.
AUGCGUGGGAUAACUGACGGUACUAGAUGAAUAAGCACCGGCUAACUCGUGCCAGCAGCCGCAGUAAUACGGAGGGUGCAAGCGUUGUCCGGAUUUAUGGGUUUAAAGGUGCGUAGGCGGCCCGGUAAGUCAGUGGUGAAAGCCUCCAGCUCAACUGGAGAACUGCCAUUGAUACUGCCGGGCUUGAGUACAGACGAGGUUGGCGGAAUUGGUUGUGUAGCGGUGAAAUGCAUAGAUACAAUCAAGAACUCCGAUUGCGUAGGCAGCUAACUAGGCUGUAACUGACGCUGAGGCACGAAAGCGUGGGGAGCGAACAGGAUUAGAUACCCUGGUAGUCCACGCUGUAAACGAUGAUUACUCGAUGUUGGCGAUAAACUGUCAGCGUCUUAGCGAAAGCGUUAAGUAAUCCACCUGGGGAGUACGCCCGCAAGGGUGAAACUCAAAGGAAUUGACGGGGGCCCGCACAAGCGGUGGAGCAUGUGGUUUAAUUCGAUGAUACGCGAGGAACCUUACCUAGGCUAGAAUGCGCGUGACCGGUCCAGAGAUGGACCUUUCCUUCGGGACACAAAGCAAGGUGCUGCAUGGCCGUCGUCAGCUCGUGCCGUGAGGUGUUGGUUAAGUCCCGCAACGAGCGCAACCCCUAUCUUUAGUUGCCAGCACAUUAUGGUGGGGACUCUAAAGAGACUGCCUGCGCAAGCAGUGAGGAAGGUGGGGAUGACGUCAGGUCAUCAUGGCCCUUACGCCUAGGGCUACACACGUGCUACAAUGGGCGGUACAGAGGGUUGCUACCUGGUGACAGGAUGCCGAUCUCAAAAAGCCGCUCUCAGUUCGGAUCGAAGUCUGCAACUCGACUUCGUGAAGCUGGAAUCGCUAGUAAUCGCGUAUCAGCAAUGACGCGGUGAAUACGUUCCCGG